UCCUUUGCCAUGCCGCUGCAAGGUCAUAAAGUAGAUAAAACUUAAGUUGCAAUUCCGGUUUUCCUCAAGAUCUGAGACAUGUUAAUUGUCUUUGUUUCUCGCUCUGGUAACAUCUUCCCGCUGCACAUAUUUCCCGCCUUAAAGAGUUUAAAAGGUGAUCAAAAAAUCUAACACUGGCCACCCGCUCGGGACACCUUCCACGCUGUGGAAGCUUUGUACUGUCAUUCUGCUCAGUAAAGCCUACAGCCUUUUUUCUCUCGGUCGGGUCCACGUCUCUCUCUCUUGCCGCGGGCUGCCGCCACCCCAACCCUUUGGCGUGGCUAAGGCAACAACCUUUGGUGUUACCCUGGUUUGCAAAGAGGAAUGCCCUCUCCAAACAUGCCUAUCGAAUAAGGUCCUGUUCAUGAUGCAAAUCUCUAUGUGAUCUUCCUCCGGAAUUCUUGAGCCCAUUCCUGGAACUGUGUGAUAACUUGCCCAGAAAAUCUUCUUGUGGAAUCUGUCUUUACAUGGAAAAGACUUGGCAAUAUUUGUACAGCAACUGGAAGAAAGGUCUUUGCUGAGAUAUACAAAGAGGCAGAAUGUGUGUGGAUCACCGAUUAGACAAGGCGAAUAGGAGCAGAAUAGAAGAGGAAUGGAAUAGAACUCAAGAGCAACACUCAUUAGAACGGCCAAUAUCCAAAACACUGGCAACACCAAAUGUGGCAAGGAUGCGAAAUAGCAGUAGCUCUCAUUCAUUGCUGGUGGAAAUGCAAAAUGAUACAGACCCUUUGCAAAACGGUUCAGCAACUUCAUAGGAAAAGAGUAUGCUGAGUGUUGUUCUAUCUCAUUGUUGCUUU
RNAcentral lists this long non-coding RNA (836 nucleotides) under Homo sapiens (human). RNAcentral's name for it is "HSALNT0310127". Lineage: Eukaryota; Metazoa; Chordata; Mammalia; Primates; Hominidae. The record is from RNAcentral.